RNAcentral lists this small RNA (125 nucleotides) under Marmota monax (woodchuck). Lineage: Eukaryota; Metazoa; Chordata; Mammalia; Rodentia; Sciuridae. The record is from RNAcentral.
GCUGGGUGCGGUGGCGUGUGCCUGCAAUCCCAGCAGCUUGGGAGGCUGAGAUAGGAGGAUCACGAGUUCAAAGCCAGCCUCAGCAACAGUGAGGCACUAAGGAAUUCAGUGAGACCCUGUCUCUA